CAUUUCAGUUGCUGUUUCCCCUGUGGCUGUCCCUGUGGAAACAAAGACAGGGUGAUCAACUACUUGGGGUUCACCCAGCACCCGAGCAAAUGCUUUAAAUACAAAUCCUUGUGCUCAGGGUUACUGAGGUGUGAGAGGCUUACCCUGUGCUCCAGCAGCCCCAGGCAGCACCGAGGUGUCAGAGGCAGCAGGGAGCUAAACUCUGUGUUCAUAAACCCAAACCCUGUGUACCUGAGCCCAAACCCUGUGCUCACAAACCCAAACCCUGUGCUCACAAUCCCAAACCCUGCGUUCAUAAUCCCAAACCCUGUGUUCAGGAGCCCAAACCCUGUGCUCACAAUCCCAAACCCUGCACUCACAAUCCCAAACCCUGUGCUCACAAUCCCAAACCCUGCACUCACAAUCCCAAACCCUGUGCUCACAAUCCCAAACCCUGCACUCACAAUCCCAAACCCUGUGCUCACAAUCCCAAACCCUGCACUCACAAUCCCAAACCCUGUGCUCACAAUCCCAAACCCUGCACUCACAAUCCCAAACCCUGUGCUCACAAUCCCAAACCCUGCACUCACAAUCCCAAACCCUGUGCUCACAAUCCCAAUCCCAAAUCCUGUGCUCACAGUCCCAAACCCUGUGCUCACAAUCCCAAACCCUGCAUUCACAAUCCCAAAUUCUGUGCUCACGAGCCCAAACCCUGUGCUCACAAUCUCAAACCCUGCAUUCACAAUCCCAAAUCCUGUGUUCACAAUCCCAAACCCUGUGCUCACAAUCCCAAACCCUGCGUUCAUAAUCCCAAACCCUGUGUUCAGGAGCCCAAACCCUGUGCUCACAAUCCCAAACCCUGCGUUCAUAAUCCCAAACCCUGUGUUCAGGAGCCCAAACCCUGUGCUCACAAUCCCAAACCCUGCAUUCACAAUCCCAAAUUCUGUGCUCACGAGCCCAAACCCUGUGCUCACAAUCUCAAACCCUGCAUUCACAAUCCCAAAUCCUGUGUUCACAAUCCCAAACCCUGUGCUCACAAUCCCAAACCCUGUGCUCACAAUCCCAAACCCUGUGCUCACAAUCCCAAAUCCUGUGCUCACAAUCCCAAACCCUGUGCUCACGAGCCCUUGCAGCAUGAGCCAGCGCCCCAGGAGCACACACAACCCCACUGACAGCCAGAACCAGCUGGAAGUGGGACCACAUGAAUCUGAGUAUAAAGAAAACCUCUUCCAAACACUCUAAAACACUCUAAAAAAAUUGAAGCCUUAAAAAAAAAAAAAAAGGGGGGGGGGGGGGGGGGGGGGGGGGGGGGGGGGGGGGGGGGGGGGGGGGGGGGGGGGGGGGGGGGGGGGGGGGGGGGGGGGGGGGGGGGGGGGGGGGGGGGGGGGGGGGGGGGGGGGGGGGGGGGGGGGGGGGGGGGGGGGGGGGGGGGGGGGGGAGCCUUAAAAAAAAAAAAAAAAAAAAAAAAAAGCUGAAAAGCUGAACUUUUUGCCUUGGCCACCCUGGUUCAUCUCCUCCCUCAUUUCAUUUCCCCCCUCCUCCCUUCACUUUCUGCCACCUUCACACGGGAUUCUGCUGCCCUACUUUUGUCCAGCCUUCUCCUAGAGAUAAGAUAAACGCUAUUUUCAAUUAACAAGACUUGAUUGCUGAAAGCAAUAGGAGGCAGUUCGUUUAGAGCCAGCAAAUUAAUUGAAAUCUAAAUGUACAUAGUCAGUGUAUUGCAGGGAGAGCAAUUAUCCUGUCGUUUGGCCCCUGCCACGCAGGCAGCCGGGCUGGGCUGAGCUGUGCAGCAGGAGGAGCUCACAUUGCCCUCCUGCCUCCUGAAGUUCCUCCCUCAGCUGCUUUUAGCCCAUUUUCAUCCUGCAAGAGAAAGUUCUCCAUGGCUGUAAGUGUAAAUUAGAGCAGGAGGACGUGUCCUGGGUCUUUGGUGGGAUGCAAAGCUGUUUUCUAAACAUCAGUCAGAUGAGAUCUUCCUCCUCACUCCUGUCCUCCUUCGGGAGGGCUUGUGCUGGGUGUGAAAACGGAAUCCACCAGCUGAGUGGAUUCCCUGCCCUCUGCAGCAUUUAUCAGGAUGAUCAGGGCACAUGGUGGGAGCCGAGGCCUUGGGAAUUCAUUGUUCUUUAAACUGUGUUUACACAUGGCAUACAGCAGAGGGAAGGAGGGCAAAGCAAUCAGCCAAUAACAGAAAUGUUCCAUCGUAAGAAAGAUCUUCCAUGACUUUCAAUGCCCAAAUGCUUUUGGUCCUGCUGAGGGAGCCACUGUGGCUUCUGUGCCAGCAGGUCCCUCAGGAGCUGGGCUUGCUCCCUCACAUCUCUGAGGGGACACCUCUCAACAGUCUUAGAGUGCCUAGGGACUAGAGUAUAGAGAAAAACCUUGGGAUGUUUUCUCUCUUAAAAUGUGUGAAAAUGGAGAAACAACUCAGAAAGUGACCAAGCACUGAUCUAAGCCAUGGAGGAGCACCCAAAUGCUUUCAGGGUAACUUGCACUUUGUACAUCUCCCCUCCUUCAGAGGACUGCUCAGAGCUUCAUGACUGCCAUGGGGGAUGCACUGGGAAUGUGCAGCACCUCUGGGUCUGAGCAGGGUCAUCCCUGGCCUCACUGACACAUCCCUCAGCUCUUCAGAAACACCUCACUAAAAACCUACUGCUCCACAAUUUACAUCCCAGGGCAGGGUAGCAAACAGCCCAUCCAGCACACAAUCCACCCAGAGGUGGCCAAAAGCAGCAAUUACAAGCCAUUCUCUGCUGGAGAGCCAACAAACCCGUAUCACGUUUUCCUUGCUGCACCUCGCUGCCUCCAAGCCAACUGGCACAAAGACUCUGCUUUCCUAUUCCUGGACAAAUUAUGCUUUGAAGCUUUCCCUCCCUGCCAGGCGUGGGAGGAGCCCCACGUGUCACCCUGACAGGAUUUC
Ficedula albicollis (Collared flycatcher) is the source of this 2890-nucleotide long non-coding RNA. The record is from Ensembl. NCBI's taxonomy places the organism in Eukaryota, Metazoa, Chordata, Aves, Passeriformes, Muscicapidae.